RNAcentral lists this transfer RNA (73 nucleotides) under Treponema sp. Its description in RNAcentral is "tRNA-Pro". It matches the Rfam family "tRNA". Rfam says of the family: Transfer RNA (tRNA) molecules are approximately 80 nucleotides in length. Their secondary structure includes four short double-helical elements and three loops (D, anti-codon, and T loops). Further hydrogen bonds mediate the characteristic L-shaped molecular structure. tRNAs have two regions of fundamental functional importance: the anti-codon, which is responsible for specific mRNA codon recognition, and the 3' end, to which the tRNAs corresponding amino acid is attached (by aminoacyl-tRNA synthetases). tRNAs cope with the degeneracy of the genetic code in two manners: having more than one tRNA (with a specific anti-codon) for a particular amino acid; and 'wobble' base-pairing, i.e. permitting non-standard base-pairing at the 3rd anti-codon position. Lineage: Bacteria; Pseudomonadati; Spirochaetota; Spirochaetia; Treponematales; Treponemataceae. The record is from RNAcentral. RNAcentral also lists the same sequence under 1 other name.
CGGGAUGUAGCGCAGCUGGUAGCGCAUCUGGUUUGGGACCAGAGGGUCGCUGGUUCGAAUCCAGUCAUCCCGA